Molecule: transfer RNA, 81 nt
Filed under: Intestinozyma alai
Lineage: Eukaryota; Fungi; Ascomycota; Pichiomycetes; Serinales; Debaryomycetaceae
Description: Candida alai tRNA-Leu
Rfam family: tRNA
About the family: Transfer RNA (tRNA) molecules are approximately 80 nucleotides in length. Their secondary structure includes four short double-helical elements and three loops (D, anti-codon, and T loops).
Source: RNAcentral
GCAGUUAUGAUGAAAUUGGUAAACAUGUAAUACUUAAAAUGUUAUGGCUAGUCCUUAUAGGUUCGACCCCUAUUAACUGCA